AGGCGGCUAUGGCGCCGGGGUUCCACCUCUUCCCUUCCCGAACAGAGAAGUUAAACCCGGCCACGCCAAUGGUACUGCACAGCGUGUGGGAGAGUAGGUCGCUGCCGU
This 108-nucleotide ribosomal RNA is filed under the name Bacteroidia bacterium. Lineage: Bacteria; Pseudomonadati; Bacteroidota; Bacteroidia. The record is from RNAcentral.